RNAcentral lists this ribosomal RNA (549 nucleotides) under uncultured bacterium. RNAcentral describes it as "bacterial SSU rRNA". It matches the Rfam family "Bacterial small subunit ribosomal RNA", at positions 355 to 896 of the family's 1533-position model. The record is from RNAcentral.
UGGGGAAUAUUGGACAAUGGGCGAAAGCCUGAUCCAGCCAUGCCGCGUGUGUGAAGAAGGCCUUUUGGUUGUAAAGCACUUUAAGUGGGGAGGAAAAGCUUAUGGUUAAUACCCAUAAGCCCUGACGUUACCCACAGAAUAAGCACCGGCUAACUCUGUGCCAGCAGCCGCGGUAAUACAGAGGGUGCAAGCGUUAAUCGGAAUUACUGGGCGUAAGGCGCGCGUAGGUGGUUAUUUAAGUCAGAUGUGAAAGCCCCGGGCUUAACCUGGGAACUGCAUCUGAUACUGGAUAACUAGAGUAGGUGAGAGGGGAGUAGAAUUCCAGGUGUAGCGGUGAAAUGCGUAGAGAUCUGGAGGAAUACCGAUGGCGAAGGCAGCUCCCUGGCAUCAUACUGACACUGAGGUGCGAAAGCGUGGGUAGCAAACAGGAUUAGAUACCCUGGUAGUCCACGCCGUAAACGAUGUCUACCAGUCGUUGGGUCUUUUAAAGACUUAGUGACGCAGUUAACGCAAUAAGUAGACCGCCUGGGGAGUACGGCCGCAAGGUUA